RNAcentral lists this non-coding RNA (31 nucleotides) under Homo sapiens (human). Lineage: Eukaryota; Metazoa; Chordata; Mammalia; Primates; Hominidae. The record is from RNAcentral.
UUCUUGGCUCUUUCUGAGAUAUGGUGGAUGU